UAAGGGAACAGCUCCUUCCAAGAAUGGAAGAUGCAACGUGACAAAGGACAGGAUUGAAAUCUCCAGAAUCACAAAGGUUGUAGUAGAGCAAAUAUUGAUUCUGUUCAACAAAUCCCACACCACCAGGAAGAGGAAGCAACAACUGAAGCUUGAAGCUGGUAUGAUAGGCCUGGACAACAACUCGCUUUAUUUGCCUGCCCAGGAUUUCCCGCAAAGAAGAAACUCAAGCUUUGAACAUGUCAAGCAAUGUGUGAUUUUCACGUUGCCAAGAAGAUUUCAUCAUUAUUAAACUUUCCGAAAGCCUGAAUGGA
This is a long non-coding RNA of Ornithorhynchus anatinus (platypus), 311 nucleotides long. RefSeq lists it as uncharacterized. The transcript has 2 exons. The record is from RefSeq and is a predicted model, not a curated record. Lineage: Eukaryota; Metazoa; Chordata; Mammalia; Monotremata; Ornithorhynchidae.